This 407-nucleotide ribosomal RNA is filed under the name uncultured bacterium. Its description in RNAcentral is "partial 16S ribosomal RNA". It matches the Rfam family "Bacterial small subunit ribosomal RNA", at positions 30 to 526 of the family's 1533-position model. The record is from RNAcentral.
CUUGAACGCUGGCGGCAGGCCUAACACAUGCAAGUCGAGCGGAGCGGCUGACGGGUGAUUAAUGCCUAGGAAUCUGCCUGGUAGUGGGGGACAACGUCCGGAAACGGGCGCUAAUCCCGCAUACUAUCAGAUUAGCCUAGGUCGUAUUGGAUAGUUGGUGGGGUAUAGCCCUACAAGGGCGACGAUCCGUAACUGGUCUGAGAGGAUGAUCAGUCACACUGGGACGGAGACACGGUCCAGGCUCAUACGGGAGGCAGCAGUGGGGAAUAUGCGGCGAUGGGCGAAAGCAUGAUCCAGCCAUGCCGCGUGUGUGAAGAAGGUCUUCGGAUUGUAAAGCACUGUAAGUAGGGACGCGGUACCAACGGAAUAAGCCCCGGCUAACUUCGUGCCAGCAGCCGCGGUAAUAC